GACGAACGCUGGCGGCGUGCUUAACACAUGCAAGUCGAACGGAAAGGCCCUGCAUUUGUGGGGUGCUCGAGUGGCGAACGGGUGAGUAACACGUGAGUAACCUGCCCUUGACUUUGGGAUAACUUCAGGAAACUGGGGCUAAUACCGGAUAGGAGCUCCUGCUGCAUGGUGGGGGUUGGAAAGGUUCGGCGGUUGGGGAUGGACUCGCGGCUUAUCAGCUUGUUGGUGGGGUAGUGGCUUACCAAGGCUUUGACGGGUAGCCGGCCUGAGAGGGUGACCGGCCACGUUGGGACUGAGAUACGGCACAGACUCCUACGGUACGCAGCAGCGGGUAAUAAUGCACGAUGGGCGGAAGCCUGAUGCAGCAACGCCGCGUGCGGGAUGACGGCCUUCGGGUUGGAAACCGCUUUCGCCUGUGACGAAUCGUGAGUGACGGUAAUGUGUAAAGAAGCACCGGCUAACUACGUG
RNAcentral lists this ribosomal RNA (468 nucleotides) under uncultured bacterium. RNAcentral's name for it is "partial 16S ribosomal RNA". It matches the Rfam family "Bacterial small subunit ribosomal RNA", at positions 28 to 507 of the family's 1533-position model. The record is from RNAcentral.